This 440-nucleotide ribosomal RNA is filed under the name uncultured bacterium. RNAcentral's name for it is "bacterial SSU rRNA". It matches the Rfam family "Bacterial small subunit ribosomal RNA", at positions 338 to 795 of the family's 1533-position model. The record is from RNAcentral.
CCUACGGGAGGCUGCAGUGGGGAAUAUUGCACAAUGGGGGAAACCCUGAUGCAGCAACGCCGCGUGAGCGAAGAAGGCCUUCGGGUCGUAAAGCUCUGUCCUAAGGGAAGAAGGAUGACGGUACCUUAGGAGGAAGCCCCGGCUAACUACGUGCCGGCAGCCGCGGCACUACGUAGGGGGCGAGCGUCAUCCGGAAUCACUGGGCGUAAAGGGUGCGUAGGCGGCCGGUAAAGCCUGGGGUGAAAGGCUACGGCUCAACCGUAGUAAGCCUGGGAAACUUAUUGGCUUGAGUGCAGGAGAGGGGGGCGGAAUUCCUGGUGUAGCGGUGAGAUGCGUAGGUAUCGGGGGGAACACCAGUGGCGAAGGCGGGUCUCUGGACUGUAACUGACGCUGAGGCACGAAAGCGUGGGGAGCAAACAGGAGUAGAUACCCCAGUAGUG